UCAGGGAACGAAGCCCUUCUCCAUCGCGACUGCUGCAACUAAGGGAACGAAGCCCUAGAAACGCGAUAUUGCUCCAAGAGAGAAAGCCCUAGAAAAUCAAUUUCCUUCAUCUCAUCAGUUCGAAUCGGUAAGGGCUUGCAAUUUGGUACUUUUGCAGUUUAUUAUACCUUUGGUCUAGUGUAUUGGUCUGGGAAAUCUAUCUUAAGUUGCUUCCUCAACAUUUAACAAUAAACUAUAUAGAUUGCUAUUUUAUUUUUUUUAUUUGCUGGGACUUCUGAAUUUGAAAGAGUCCCUAUUAUUUUUAGUUUUUGUUUACAGAGGUGUUUUCCAACAGAUUGUGGAAAAUGUAACAUUAGUUAAUGAAGCCAAAGACAGAAAAAUUUUCAAACAUGUCUAGUUAACAUUAAAUUCAAGCUGCGAGUUAAUUAAUAUUUGUAUUUUUUUAUGCCUCACAUAAUUAGGAAAAAAUAGGUUAUUGUUCAGUGGACACAAAAAAGGUUAUUGUUCAGUGGACACAUUGUUCAGUGGGCACAUUACAAGUAAAUUUCUGUUUGUCAAGUAAAUCCAGCAAUAUAGCUAUUAUCUAUAAUUUUUUUAAUUGGUGAUUUCAUAAGUUCAAGUAAAUUUAUGUUUGUCCAGGUGUAAAUAUAAUGGAUGACAUGUACAAUGAAUGGGGGACUGUAUUUUGUUGUCUAAUUUGAACUUGUUGCUGGGGGACUGUAUUUUGCUGUCUGUUUAUGGGGACAGUUGUUUGGGGAAGACUGUUAUGGUUUUAUUUUUCUGCUGUAGUUUUCAUUCUCUAUAUAAUGGGGACAGUUCUGUGACUUAUGUUCUGUAUGUUGCUGCAGUUGGUUGACUGCUAUCUAUUUUGGGUUUCAUAUGCAGCUGGGAGUCUGGUGGAAUGACUGUGUGCUGGCUGCUGCCGUUGUGUGUGCAGUGCUAUGUGUUGUGCUGCUGUCUAACCUGAUGAUAAUGUUAGAGUUGUGUGUGCAGUGCUACUGACUGUGUGUGCAGUGCUGCUAUGUGUUAUGGACUAUGUGCUGCUGUUAUGUGCUAUGGACUCUGUGCUGCUAGGUGCUGCUAUGUUUUCUGAUUUUAAACCUUUUACUCUUUUUAGAGUGUUUUUUUAACAUUAGAAUUUAGCAAGACCUUGUCAACAAUUGGAGAAAAGCUAAUGACUGGCAUAUUUUUCCAUUCUUGUACUUUUCAUGUCUCUAGAGUAUUUGACAUUUUCUACAUUUGCUGGACAUGGGCUUUCGUGAAAAUUGUAUGUACUUGUGAUGUAUGCACUUGAUUGGGAAUAAAUCACUUUUUGGUCACU
RNAcentral lists this long non-coding RNA (1321 nucleotides) under Panax ginseng (ginseng). Its description in RNAcentral is "long non-coding RNA (PGIN_LNC015796)". The record is from RNAcentral. Lineage: Eukaryota; Viridiplantae; Streptophyta; Magnoliopsida; Apiales; Araliaceae.